Molecule: ribosomal RNA, 544 nt
Filed under: Streptomyces lusitanus
Lineage: Bacteria; Bacillati; Actinomycetota; Actinomycetes; Kitasatosporales; Streptomycetaceae
Description: bacterial SSU rRNA
Rfam family: Bacterial small subunit ribosomal RNA
Source: RNAcentral
CAGAAGAAGCGCCGGCUAACUACGUGCCAGCAGCCGCGGUAAUACGUAGGGCGCGAGCGUUGUCCGGAAUUAUUGGGCGUAAAGAGCUCGUAGGCGGCUUGUCGCGUCGGUUGUGAAAGCCCGGGGCUUAACCCCGGGUCUGCAGUCGAUACGGGCAGGCUAGAGUUCGGUAGGGGAGAUCGGAAUUCCUGGUGUAGCGGUGAAAUGCGCAGAUAUCAGGAGGAACACCGGUGGCGAAGGCGGAUCUCUGGGCCGAUACUGACGCUGAGGAGCGAAAGCGUGGGGAGCGAACAGGAUUAGAUACCCUGGUAGUCCACGCCGUAAACGGUGGGCACUAGGUGUGGGCGACAUUCCACGUCGUCCGUGCCGCAGCUAACGCAUUAAGUGCCCCGCCUGGGGAGUACGGCCGCAAGGCUAAAACUCAAAGGAAUUGACGGGGGCCCGCACAAGCGGCGGAGCAUGUGGCUUAAUUCGACGCAACGCGAAGAACCUUACCAAGGCUUGACAUACACCGGAAACGUCCAGAGAUGGGCGCCCCCUUGUG